UGAGGAAUAUUGGACAAUGGGCGCAAGCCUGAUCCAGCCAUGCCGCGUGCAGGAUGACGGUCCUAUGGAUUGUAAACUGCUUUUGUACAGGAAGAAACAGUUCUACGUGUAGAACCUUGACGGUACUGUAAGAAUAAGGAUCGGCUAACUCCGUGCCAGCAGCCGCGGUAAUACGGAGGAUCCAAGCGUUAUCCGGAAUCAUUGGGUUUAAAGGGUCCGUAGGCGGUUAGAUAAGUCAGUGGUGAAAGCCCAUCGCUCAACGGUGGAACGGCCAUUGAUACUGUCUGACUUGAAUUAUUAGGAAGUAACUAGAAUAUGUAGUGUAGCGGUGAAAUGCUUAGAGAUUACAUGGAAUACCAAUUGCGAAGGCAGGUUACUACUAAUGGAUUGACGCUGAUGGACGAAAGCGUGGGUAACGAACAGGAUUAGAUACCCAAGUAGUCCCUGAGCGGGCUGGCAAGGCGCAU
This 467-nucleotide ribosomal RNA is filed under the name uncultured bacterium. Its description in RNAcentral is "bacterial SSU rRNA". It matches the Rfam family "Bacterial small subunit ribosomal RNA", at positions 355 to 825 of the family's 1533-position model. The record is from RNAcentral.